AGUGAACGCUGGCGGGAGGAGGAACACAUGCAAGUCGAACGGCAGCACAGUAAGAGCUUGCUCUUACGGGUGGCGAGUGGCGGACGGGUGAGGAAUACAUCGGAAUCUACUUUUUCGUGGGGGAUAACGUAGGGAAACUUACGCUAAUACCGCAUACGACCUACGGGUGAAAGCAGGGGAUCUUCGGACCUUGCGCGAUUGAAUGAGCCGAUGUCGGAUUAGCUAGUUGGCGGGGUAAAGGCCCACCAAGGCGACGAUCCGUAGCUGGUCUGAGAGGAUGAUCAGCCACACUGGAACUGAGACACGGUCCAGACUCCUACGGGAGGCAGCAGUGGGGAAUAUUGGGCAAUGGGCGCGAGCCUGAUCCAGCCAUACCGCGUGGGUGAAGAAGGCCUUCGGGUUGUAAAGCCCUUUUGUUGGGAAAGAAAAGCAGCAGGUUAAUACCCCGCUGUUCUGACGGUACCCAAAGAAUAAGCACCGGCUCACUUCGUC
Molecule: ribosomal RNA, 492 nt
Filed under: uncultured bacterium
Lineage: Bacteria
Description: partial 16S ribosomal RNA
Rfam family: Bacterial small subunit ribosomal RNA
Source: RNAcentral